This 431-nucleotide ribosomal RNA is filed under the name uncultured Pseudomonas sp. Its description in RNAcentral is "bacterial SSU rRNA". It matches the Rfam family "Bacterial small subunit ribosomal RNA", at positions 8 to 487 of the family's 1533-position model. The record is from RNAcentral. Lineage: Bacteria; Pseudomonadati; Pseudomonadota; Gammaproteobacteria; Pseudomonadales; Pseudomonadaceae.
AGAGUUUGAUCCUGGCUCAGAACGAACGCUGGCGGCAGGCUUAACACAUGCAAGUCGAGCGCCCCGCAAGGGGAGCGGCAGACGGGUGAGUAACACGUGGGAAUCUACCCAUCCCUGCGGAACAACUCCGGGAAACUGGAGCUAAUACCGCAUACGCCCUACGGGGGAAAGAUUUAUCGGGGAUGGAUGAGCCCGCGUUGGAUUAGCUAGUUGGUGGGGUAAAGGCCUACCAAGGCGACGAUCCAUAGCUGGUCUGAGAGGAUGAUCAGCCACAUUGGGACUGAGACACGGCCCAAACUCCUACGGGAGGCAGCAGUGGGGAAUAUUGGACAAUGGGCGCAAGCCUGAUCCAGCCAUGCCGCGUGAGUGAUGAAGGCCUUAGGGUUGUAAAGCUCUUUCACCGAUGAAGAUAAUGACGGUAGUCGGAGAAG